GUGAACGCUGGCGGUAGGCCUAACACAUGCAAGUCGAACGGCAGCACAGUAAGAGCUUGCUCUUACGGGUGGCGAGUGGCGGACGGGUGAGGAAUACAUCGGAAUCUACUUUUUCGUGGGGGAUAACGUAGGGAAACUUACGCUAAUACCGCAUACGACCUACGGGUGAAAGCAGGGGAUCUUCGGACCUUGCGCGAUUGAAUGAGCCGAUGUCGGAUUAGCUAGUUGGCGGGGUAAAGGCCCACCAAGGCGACGAUCCGUAGCUGGUCUGAGAGGAUGAUCAGCCACACUGGAACUGAGACACGGUCCAGACUCCUACGGGAGGCAGCAGUGGGGAAUAUUGGACAAUGGGCGCAAGCCUGAUCCAGCCAUACCGCGUGGGUGAAGAAGGCCUUCGGGUUGUAAAGCCCUUUGUUGGGAAAGAAAAGCAGCAGGUUAAUACCCCGCUGUUCUGACGGUACCCAAAGAAUAAGCACCGGCUAACUUCGUG
RNAcentral lists this ribosomal RNA (490 nucleotides) under uncultured bacterium. RNAcentral's name for it is "partial 16S ribosomal RNA". It matches the Rfam family "Bacterial small subunit ribosomal RNA", at positions 29 to 507 of the family's 1533-position model. The record is from RNAcentral.